CCCUUAGAUGUCCUGGGCCGCACGCGUGCUACACUGACGCCUACGGCGAGUACUUCCCAGCCCCGAGAGGUGGCUGGUAAUCAGCAAUAGGCGUCGUGAUGGGGAUAGAUCUUUGGAAUUAUGGAUCUUGAACGAGGAAUGCCUAGUAAGCGCAGGUCAUUAGCCUGCGCUGAUUAAGUCCCUGCCCUUUGUACACACCGCCCGUCGCUCCUACCGAUUUCGAGUGGUCCGGUGAAUCUUUCGGACUGCGCGCGGCCUCGUGCCGUGUCGCGGAAAGUCAGGUAAACCUUAUCACUUAGAGGAAGGAGAAGUCGUAACA
Molecule: ribosomal RNA, 319 nt
Filed under: uncultured eukaryote
Lineage: Eukaryota
Description: partial 18S ribosomal RNA
Rfam family: Eukaryotic small subunit ribosomal RNA
Source: RNAcentral